AAGUAAAAUUGGGUGGAUAAGCACAGCCUUAGAAGAGACACCUAUGCGUAUUGAUCUUGAAAUCCUAGCACCGAAUGAAAAAAAAACUUGAGAAAUAAUACAAUUCUUUUGACACAAAGUUAAAAUGCAAGUCAGCAAAACCACCUUUUUUUUUUUUCUUUCCAAGGACAGGUAACAACAUAAGAUCAACAGAAUGGAAUGACUAAUUCUAGGGGCAGGUGAAGUGAGUGGAAUAUACAGAUAAAAGGGAAAGACGCAAGGGACCGUGGAGAGAUGAAAGAAAAAUGAUAACAGGAAUAUAAUUCCUGGGAUUCCUUUAAAUGGAGACAAAAGCAUCCAUUUAGAGUCAAAAGACUGAAAAUGCAAGCCUGGGGAGAAAGAACGUGCUAGAACGAAGAGUUCUAGAUUCAGGUUUGGGCCAACAAAGAAGGGCUGUCCCACUGACCUGAGUGAACCGGAUGGCUGGGUCGAUCGCCUGGGUCCGCCAGCCUUUGGAAACCCAGGGCCAUCAAGCACAGAGCUCGUGAGAAUCCUGGAGAAGAAAGGGUCCAGUCUAGCCGGCUUCACUGUGUCACGGACUCCCCGCCCAGCCCCAGUCUAUUAUCCCAUCCUGGGGUAAAGAGCAUUUUUUUUUUUUUGGAGGUUUUGUCAGGGUCUGGAUGCAAUCAAUUUUAAACAAAAUUUUUCCUGCUGAGCAAACAUCUGUACUCUGGGUCUUGCUUCCUUUACACUGUCUUCUUAGCUUUCAAAUAUUUGCCGUCUAAAAAAUAAAAAACUUGAGGGGCGCCUGGGUGGCUCAGUCGGUUGAGCAUCCAACUUCAGCUCAGGUCAUGAUCUCACGGUUUGUGGGUUCGGUUCCGCAUCCGGCUUUGUGCUGACAGCUUGCACAGAGCCUGGAGCCUGCUUCGGAACCUCCUUCUCUCUCUGCCCCUACCCUGUUGGUGCCCUGUCUCUCUCUGUCUCUCAAUAAUAAAUAAAUGUAAAAAAAUAAAAAUAAAAUAAAUAAAAAAC
This 1011-nucleotide long non-coding RNA is filed under the name Suricata suricatta (meerkat). RNAcentral describes it as "lncRNA (ENSSSUG00005012666.1)". The record is from RNAcentral. Lineage: Eukaryota; Metazoa; Chordata; Mammalia; Carnivora; Herpestidae.